Molecule: ribosomal RNA, 442 nt
Filed under: uncultured Prevotella sp.
Lineage: Bacteria; Pseudomonadati; Bacteroidota; Bacteroidia; Bacteroidales; Prevotellaceae
Description: bacterial SSU rRNA
Rfam family: Bacterial small subunit ribosomal RNA
Source: RNAcentral
UGAGGAAUAUUGGUCAAUGGACGAGAGUCUGAACCAGCCAAGUAGCGUGCAGGAUGACGGCCCUAUGGGUUGUAAACUGCUUUUGUGCGGGGAUAAAGUGUGGGACGCGUCCCAUAUUGCAGGUACCGCAUGAAUAAGGACCGGCUAAUUCCGUGCCAGCAGCCGCGGUAAUACGGAAGGUUCGGGCGUUAUCCGGAUUUAUUGGGUUUAAAGGGAGCGUAGGCCGGAGAUUAAGCGUGUUGUGAGAUGUAGACGCUCAACGUCUGCACUGCAGCGCGAACUGGUUUCCUUGAGUACGCACAAAGUGGGCGGAGUUCGUGGUGUAGCGGUGAAAUGCUUAGAUAUCACGAAGAACUCCGAUUGCGAAGGCAGCUCACUGGAGCGCAACUGACGCUGAAGCUCGAAAGUGCGGGUAUCGAACAGGAUUAGAUACCCUGGUAGU